Long non-coding RNA from Zeugodacus cucurbitae (melon fly), 4662 nucleotides. RefSeq lists it as uncharacterized. The transcript is spliced from 4 exons. The record is from RefSeq and is a predicted model, not a curated record. Lineage: Eukaryota; Metazoa; Arthropoda; Insecta; Diptera; Tephritidae.
UCCACUGCAACCGGUACUGCGAUACCGGAAUUGAUCCGGAUUUUAUCCUUCCAAAAAUGUCAGACACCCCGCCACUCACUUGGGUCAAAAGCCAUAUCUCAGCAACUACUAUUUGAAUGAAAUUCCGUUCAGUACCUUUUGCGAAAUCGGUUGACAAUCACACCUACUUCCCACAUACCACAACUGUGAAUUCUCUCUGAUUCGUUCAUAUAACCAUAUAUAAAUCAGUAACUAGUGCAGAUAUUGGAACGAAAAAUUUCUACACAUAAUAAAAAUAUUAUUGUCUUUUAAUCAUAUUUACCACAAUAAAUUACUUCCUUCCCAUACUUCAGCACAAAUGGGCAAUAAAACUUUUUCGCCACAAAAAUUGACAUUUUCAUGCACAAAAUGCUGUCAAAUAUUUUCCACCUCAUUAAAUUGUGAAUUUUUGAAAAGUCAAUGACGCUGAAAACCCCGAAACAGUCGUUACUUUCAUAAUGUCACUAAGUAAUGUUUACAUGGCGUCACCACGGCAGCUGCCGCCCAAACGACAUCUUAUUUGCUAUACAACGAGAGUGUGUGUGCGCUUAGAUGCUGCCACGCAGCGUUGCAUUUCGCGUUUCGCUAGUUGUUAUGUGCGAUGCUCCAUUAGAUUAUUGUAAAAUACUAGUAUUUAUUGCAUAGCCAAUACGUGACCAAUAAAAAAUAAGCUUAAUGUGGCUAGUAAUGCGAGUGAGUGCCGCGCACGCCAGCCGCAGGCAGUAGUUGCAAGCAGUCAAUGCCGCAUUGUCUCGAAUUGUCUGUCUGAAAGCAGUUUACCAAUGCAUAAAUACAAAUCUCUCUGCUCUACUGUAUGUGUGUCUGUUUGUUGGUGGGUGUAUGGUGCAAGUGCUUGUUGUUGUUAUGGUUGUUGCCACGAGCGUCGCCGCGGACAUGACAAUAUGGUUUGCGGUGUGGCAAGUACAUACAAACAAUACGCUACAUAUGUCGUUUUGCCAAUGGCUCGCCGAAUGCACUCCACGUUGUCACUUACACAUGUAGCCACACACUCACACCUACUUACAAACACAAACACGUUUGCUCCGCGUUGUUCAUGUGCGCUUUGUUUGUUUGUGUUGUUGCGUUGUGGUUUUUGGGUAGAACGCAUUUCAUUUCUCGUCUGCAUUUACUUCGAUCCUCUAUCAGCCUUUAAAAAUUCACCACAACCAACAUUUUAUUUUAAUUUUUAUUGUUGUUCUAUUUCUGUUUGCCUGAGCAAUCAUGUGAGUAUGUGGAAUUGGUUAUCAGUUAUUUUGGUAGUCUAUACUUUUGAAGAGUACACUUAGUAAUUAGUCCUGAAAUAGUACAAAAUGGACGAAAAUUGAGACUAGUGGCAAGGGAACAGUGAUCUAAUUCCCUAUUUUUGGGUAUUGGCUCAAUUACAUUAGACUGAGAAGACAAUCCUCUCGAGACGAACUAAAUCCAAACUUUACAAGACGCUCAUUAUUCCUGUACUGAUUUAUGGUGCGGAAGCAUGGACGAUGUCAAUAUCCGAUGAGACAGAACUAGGCGUUUUAUAAAGAAAUGUUUUGCGGAAGAUUUAUAAUCCGCAGACGAUGGUACGAUGAGCUGUACGAGUUAUAAGACGACAUUGACAUAGUUCAACGAAUAAAAAGCAGAGGCUACGCUGGCUUGGUCAUGUUGUCCGAGAUAUAAGCUGUCCAGCUUUGAAGGUGUUCGAUGCAGUACCCGCUAGUAGAAGCUGAAGACUUCUUUCUACUCCGUUGGAAAUAACAGCUGGAGAGCGACCUUGUUUCACUUGGUCGUUACAAGUUUGAUUCGCAUAUAAUCGGGUAAGAGGUUCCUAUGCCAUUUACAUACAAUGGGGCAGUUAUAAUAAUCUUUCAAUCGGUUAUGAUGUCGGAGUACUUUAUAAAUCCCUAUCGAGGCAUCAAAUGUCCACGAAAUGAGGAGUAAUUGCUUUACGAAGAAAAUCAGAUUUUUAGUAUAGAAAAUAAGCUUUCUGUAAAAUGCUUAAUACCUUUAUAUUUUGAAAAGUAAUAUUUAUAUUGCCCGAAUAUUUAUCUUUUCCCUCAGAGUUGCUGUGUACCUAGUCACGUGUCGGACGGAAAUUGCUACGAUGCCACUCUGACUGGGCUGCCUUCCAAUAAAUGGUCUUCUAGUAGUCAUAAAUAAUUAACUUAACUGCGUAUAUGAAGAAGGACACAAGGAACACCACACUUUUUGGUCUGAGGAGGCGGAAUCUUUGCAGAAACAGUUUAUGUUGAUUAUCUUGGGGCGUAUUUCUUUGUAGAACAUUUACUUGAAUAUCUUCGCCCGACAGUUUUCAUAAAUGGACCUAACUAAAUAGAGAGUAUACGUGAGGCUAUGUUUAGAGAUUCGAGUAAGGAAUCUGACCGGAUUUAAUUUUGGUACAAACCCAAAAAAGAGCAUCAUCCCUUAUGGCCACUAUGAUACGUCUAUGUUUCAACAUCAGAAUAAGUUGACCUUAUGUCAGCUUGAUUUAGAGCCACAUGGAGUCCGAAGCACAGUAGAUGUUUUAAUUUGAUCAUUCUACGCUGCCAAUUCGAAUCAGGUAAUACUACUUUGGGUGGAAACAUACACCACUCUUUUGUAACUUACUUUAACAAUAUUUGUUCGGAGAUUGCAAAUACCUAGACUUAAUAUAUUGGAGGAUUGGGUCAUGUGUAGAAAUUCAUGUAAGUGAGGAAAGUUCCAGACUGCCAUUCACUUGGGAGUGGCCAGGAACGAUCCCUUUGCAGGUGGCUCAAGCAACUCACGACUUCGGGUUUUAAACCAAGUAUUCUCUGGGUAGCCAACAGACCACCACUUAAAAAAACAUAUCCAAUGAAAAUAACACAACAGCAUCGGAUUAGAAUGCCCAAUUUCAGCGAAAAGGAAGAACGAAUGGCUCGCUGUUGCAAACUCGGCUAUAACCCCGUGAGCAGUGUCUACGCCAAUUAAGAAGAAGAUACUUAUCAUAUUUUUCUUCAACUUAAACAAUAUAUGAGAAAUUUCACUGUCAUACUCUAGAAUGGAAAGCACUACCAGUCCAUUUAGGAGUACUUUUAUGCUUUCCGUCAGCUCAAAUCUACUGCUAGCUACAGCAAGAAAUCGCCAGUAUGAUGCGCGCUUCCACAUUGUAUGCACGUACUACUACAUAAGCAUUAUCAACUUUAUAAUAAAUUUACUGAUUGAAAAAUGACCCUGUACCUCGUUUGCUGAAAGCUUGAAUUUUAUGGUUGCUUUUAUUACAACGCAAAUGGUUGAGUAGCGGCGAAGCAGGAUAAAAUAGAGCUGUCAAAAAUUGUGCGUGUAUAUAAAAUAUUUGCGAUGUGCGCUGUGUGAAAUAUUGGCCCUACUGACCUGCUUUCGUGGCUGUUAAUUAAUACAAUUAUCGAUUGAUUCCUGGAAGUUUUUGUAUUGCAGCGGAUUUGUGCAAAAUAUUUUUAAAUGUAAUUAAAAUUUAAAAUUUGUAAAUUUUUUUAAAUUUUCAAAUACCUGAAAGCAUUAAAAUUCUCCAAAGCCCUAAAUAUCAGAAGCUUCCCUCAUAUUGAUAAAAUGCAGUUUGCGUUAUUUGCUUCGCCAAAAUAAUAAUUUUCUUAAGGACACAAACGUUUGUAAUCACUCAUAUCCCCUAUAUAUAUUUGUUUAUACUCCUAUGUAGUAUUGGUGGCCACCCGGGCGUAUGAGUAACUCUUAAAAAUUUAAUAAAUUUAGCAUUGAUAAGAGAAUCAAUACUAAAACUGUAUUACAAAUUUAUGAAUAACCAAAAUCAUUUUUUUUUUUAAUUUUAUAAAACUGCAUGAGAUGAGCAUGAUAGAUAUGAUAGUGUUGGUUGCUUUUCUGCAUAAUCCCCCAAAAAUAUAUCCUUUUGAUAAAUUCUGUUGCAGCUAUUAAAACAGAUAAGUGAUUUGGAUGGCUACAUCUUCACAUCAGCUAGUGGUGUUACCGUUACAAGCAAACCUUGUUCCACUUGCCACAUUCUACGCCUUGCAGCAAUCUACUUAAGCCAUAAGUACCGUGUACUACCCCCAGUUUUACCUUUUUCAUUUCACUAGCGUAAGACAGUAGCUGCAGUCAGUGCAACCGGUGCAGAUGUUGCAUGUGUUCAAAGUCAUAAAUUUAUGGUGCAACAUAAUGUUUCUUUACAUAAUAUACAUAAGUGGCAGUACGUCGUAUAACGUUUUACAUGUGCGCUUAAGCGUACAACAAAUAUACACACAUUCAUUCUCAUCUCUCACAGCUGUGUUGUCUUUUGUAUGUGCUUUCUAGUUUCUUCAUUUUUCAGCUUGCCUUAGUGGCUGGCGCAUUUUGAUUUUCUUGCAACAUGCUUGCCUUCGUUGUUGUUUUGGUUUCUGUUUACCACUUUUAGUAGAGAAAUCAUAUUACAGGCACCACUUUUUUUGGAAAAAAAUAGAAAAAAGUAUAUACUUCAUUUUUUGGUAGACUACCACCAUUAAUUUCCAUAAUUGGAUACUUAAGAUAAUUUCCUCAUUUGCAGCUCCUCGGGAAGAGACGACAAGAUGCGCAACACUAUCAAAAGUGAUGAGGGGAUUGCAGAGAGUGGUAGUAGUAGUGUUGCUGUGGUUGGUUCAUAUGUGUCUUGUGCUCGUAGUUAAUUCUAUGGUAUUCUUUUAGCGCCACUACUACUUUUAUGACUCUUGUAGAUAACGAUAUGCU